RNAcentral lists this ribosomal RNA (460 nucleotides) under uncultured bacterium. Its description in RNAcentral is "partial 16S ribosomal RNA". It matches the Rfam family "Bacterial small subunit ribosomal RNA", at positions 338 to 795 of the family's 1533-position model. The record is from RNAcentral.
CCUACGGGGGGCAGCAGUGAGGAAUAUUGGUCAAUGGGCGCGAGCCUGAACCCGCCAAGUAGCGUGAAGGAUGACUGCCCUACGGGUUGUAAACUUCUUUUAUAAUGGAAUAAAGUGAGGCACGUGUGCCUUUUUGUAUGUACUUUAUGAAUAAGGAUCGGCUAACUCCGUGCCAGCAGCCGCGGUAAUACGGAGGAUCCGAGCGUUAUCAGGAUUUAUUGGGUUUAAAGGGAGCGUAGAUGGGUUGUUAAGGAAGUUGUGAAAGUUUGCGGCUCAACCGUAAAAUUGCAAUUGAUACUGGCAGCCUUGAGUACAGUUGAGGUAGGCGGAAUGAGUGGUGUAGCGGUGAAAUGCUUAGAUAUCACGAAGAACUCCGAUUGCGAAGGCAGCUUACUAAACUGCCACUGACAUUGAUGCUCGAAAGUGUGGGUAUCAAACAGGAUUAGAUACCCCUGUAGUC